CCGAGGUUAAUACCGGAUACUCCAUAUCCAUCGCAUGAUAGAUAUGGGAAAGGCUCCGGCGGCAAAGGAUGGGCCCGCGGCCUGUUAGCUAGUUGGUGGGGUAGUGGCCUACCAAGGCAAUGAUGGGUAGCCGGGUUGAGAGACCGACCGGCCAGAUUGGGACUGAGACACGGCCCAGACUCCUACGGGAGGCAGCAGGG
RNAcentral lists this ribosomal RNA (200 nucleotides) under uncultured Atopobium sp. Its description in RNAcentral is "partial 16S ribosomal RNA". It matches the Rfam family "Bacterial small subunit ribosomal RNA", at positions 157 to 354 of the family's 1533-position model. The record is from RNAcentral. Lineage: Bacteria; Bacillati; Actinomycetota; Coriobacteriia; Coriobacteriales; Atopobiaceae.